Molecule: unclassified non-coding RNA, 22 nt
Filed under: Mus musculus (house mouse)
Lineage: Eukaryota; Metazoa; Chordata; Mammalia; Rodentia; Muridae
Description: oocyte_clustered_small_RNA10175
Source: RNAcentral
UGGGUUCUGUGUUUUGUUUCUA